RNAcentral lists this ribosomal RNA (203 nucleotides) under Klebsiella michiganensis. Its description in RNAcentral is "partial 23S ribosomal RNA". It matches the Rfam family "Bacterial large subunit ribosomal RNA", at positions 123 to 363 of the family's 2925-position model. Lineage: Bacteria; Pseudomonadati; Pseudomonadota; Gammaproteobacteria; Enterobacterales; Enterobacteriaceae. The record is from RNAcentral.
GAAACCCAGUGCAAUUCGUUGCACUAUCGUUAACUGAAUACAUAGGUUAACGAGGCGAACCGGGGGAACUGAAACAUCUAAGUACCCCGAGGAAAAGAAAUCAACCGAGAUUCCCCCAGUAGCGGCGAGCGAACGGGGAGCAGCCCGGAGUCUGAAUCAGCUUGUGUGUUAGUGGAAGCGUCUGGAAAGUCGCAGGGUACAGG